Molecule: unclassified non-coding RNA, 264 nt
Filed under: plant metagenome
Description: partial contains small subunit ribosomal RNA, internal transcribed spacer 1, and 5.8S ribosomal RNA
Source: RNAcentral
UUUCCGUAGGUGAACCUGCGGAAGGAUCAUUAUUGAAACUUCAUCCGGGGCGCCGCGGCCCUCAGCACCGGUGGAAACGCCGUGCUGCGGGGGCCGCGCGUGCACUUGUCCAAACCAAACCCCUGUGAACCUUACGGGAUGGCCCGGGUUAGCGCCCGGUGCCGUUCCGCUUUAUACAAACACUUAUCAAAGAAUGAACUGAAGGCGGUCUGACCGCUGGAUAACAAACUGAAACAACUUUCAACAACGGAUCUCUUGGCUCUC